GUCCCCGGCGUCCGGGCGCCCUGCAUGGAUCCCCCACCCCAGCUCCUGCUCCCCGGCGGCGGCCGGUGGGCAGAAAGACCGAAACCCACUCACGGCCGCCUGCCGAAUCGCGGCUCUGCUGUUUGUGGGGCGUGCUAGAAACGUGGUCCUAAAAAGAAUGGCGUCCAUUUACAUAAUGCUUUGUUUGCGUUUCGCAAGUUUCUUUCGGUUAAAGCCACAGAAACCCCACCUCCUGCCCUUGUGUCGUUUCCACCGCGGCACCCUUUUCCGACAUUAGAAACAAUAGUGUACGCCUGUGGAGGCCUCGUUUGUUCAGGGGCUGCCGGCCAGGGCUUCAGGACGUUUCUGCGGCUUUCCCCGCGCGGCCUGGGCUCCCGCGGCUGCUUUUCGGGCCCAUGGGCGCAGCCACUGCGCCAGGCUCAAGGGGGGCGGCCCCGUCAGGGCCCGCCAUCUUGGAAGGCCUUUUUUGCCGGUUCUUCCCGCUGAGGAAGUGUCGCUCAAGACGCUGGCCUAUGAGUUGUGAUUUCUGCCUUUUCCCCUUCCUCCUUGGGCUAAGCCAGACCAGAAAGGGCCCCGUGCGCAACGUGCUUCACAAUCUCUCAGGGAAAGCGGCUAACGUGGCGCUACUCCGCCUCCCCUGUUCCUUACCCUUGGGGCGGCCGCCAUGUUUCCUGAACACAAAAUGGCGACACGUGGUUAGCAUUCGUCGCCAACGAGAAAUUGGGGUCGGCCCGAAAGCUCUAGAAUGCACCCCUCUUCCUCCCCGGGGCCUUCCACCUCCGCGAGUUUUAUGACUUAAAAAAGCCCACAGGCUGGUCUGAAGGUCGGAGGCCUAAUUUUAACGCGUUUUCCUCCCUUUAAUUUGAAACGGGAACGCGAAUGACUGUAAAAUGUGGGCACAAUAUUUAAUCUCUCGCCUUUUUAAAGCUUAAUAGUGGAUAAUAGGGGGGCAGUAUCAAGGGAUAAUUUGGGUCCCCACAGUACCAAAGCAUUUAGAAACCUCUGUUUAAUUUAAGGAAUGAGAUAAGUUACUGCUUUUCUAGACUUCCUAGCAUGGGCUGUUGUGCUGGAGAGAACGAGAGCUACGAAGAGACUACAGUGCCUCUGACUUUUUCAUAGGACAGUUGGCCGGUGAAUCUUAUUAAUAGUUUACCACAAUUAAGUGUUCAUUUUUAGUCUAGAAGGGACAGGCGUUUAUUGUGCAUUGGCCAGUGCCAGCACAUCCGAUGCAAGGCAGUUCACCGUAUUCUAUCUUUAAUUUUUACCAUGGUCCUCUGAGGUAGGUGUUCUUAUCUCUCUCUCUCUCUCUCUCUUUUAAACAGAGGAAGACAAACAUAAAGAUGAAGUGCUUAAUUCAAGGUCACACAAUGUCGGGGAUGGACCUCCAGAUUUCCUUACUGACCUGCAUUAUCUUGUGGAUACCUGAGUGAAUUCCACACCACCCAUUUUAUAGAUGAAACCACUGAGACAUGGAGCAAUUGACUGAGUAGUCACUGCCCCACCCCUGCCUGGAGCCUCACACAUGACUCGCCUCCUCUCAGUGACCACAGGUUGGUUGAGGGGUUUAACAAGGCUAAGAAGGUGAGACGUGGUCUUGUAACACAGUGGUUAAGAAUGUGACUUUGGAGCCAGCCUGCUAGGGGCUGAAUUCUGACUCAGCCAUUUACUAACUGUGUGACCUUAGGCUGGAGUGCAAUGGCAUGAUCUCGGCUCAUCACAACCUCUGCUUCCUGGGUUCAAGCGAUUCUCCUGCCUCAGCCUCCCGAGUACCUGGGACUACAGGCACUCGCCACCAUGCCCGGCUGAUUUUUGUAUUUUUAAUAGAGAUGGUUUCACUAUGUUGGCCAGGCUGGUCUCGAACUCCUGACCUUGUGAUCUGCCCACCUCAGCCUCGAAAAGUGCUGGGAUUACAGGCGUGAGCCACUGCGCCCAGCCUUGUAUUUUUUUUCAGUUUGGGUAGCUGUCCCUAAUUCAUUUGUUAAAGGAGAAGCAAGAGCAAGAACCUUUAAUCUGUUCUCCUCUUCCCUAAUUUGAAAGUAGCUUGUUAUUUUGAAUAUCACUUUCUCUGAAAUAGCACAUCUCCAUCUCAGAGAAUGGAUUUAAUGUUUGGAUACAGCCAAAAGUCAUUUCAUUACCAAACCAUGGGGUGAAUAUACCAUGUAAAGCAGUUUGGGAUCAGAACUCACAGUCUGAAUUGUAAGUGAUGAGACUGCUGUCUCUCUGCUACAGCUUCUUGGCUGGCUCUGAAGGCUCUUUGAAGGCAGAUCCUAACAAGGGGACUGCUUUGAAGGGCCAUUGUUCAUUUGGAAUGAUAAAGUCUAUGUUGUUCAAAAAACAAAUGCUUGUAGCAGGUAUUUUUUCACUCCAGACUGAGAAUAUUGGUGGGAUAUUGAUAAGGGGUACUGAAUGGUAAUAAACAUGUGCUCUAGCUCUGUGCUAGUCAGCUUAUUUCAGAACUCUAGUUUGAUUCAGUUUCUUGCCUCUGACUCAAAAUGGAGGGAGAGUGAUUUUUACAUAAGAGAACACACCCACAUAUCCUUUUGGCAGCAGCUACCUGCCAGAGAUGUUGAAGAAGAGUAGCCAACCUUUACACAGCAGAUAUUGUGUGCCAGUCAUAGUCCUAAGUAUAAUACCUUACAUGUAUAAACUUCUUAUAAGGUUGGUGCUCUGUACCGAAUUGAAUAGUAUCCCCCAAAAUUCAUGUUGUCCCAGAACCUAUGAAAGUGAUCUUACUUGAGGGAGGGGGGAGGGGGGAGGGAUAGCAUUAGGAGAUAUACCUAAUGCUAAAUGACGAGUUAAUGGGUGUAGCACACCAGCAUGGCACAUGUAUACAUAUGUAACUAACCUGCACAUUGUGCACAUGUACCCUAAAACUUAAAGUAUAAUAAUAAUAAAAUAAAAAAAAAAAAGAAAGUGAUCUUACUUGGAAAUAAGGUCUUUGCACAUAUGAUCAAGUUGAGAUGAAGUUGUACUGGAAAGUCUGUCUAGUGACUGGUGUUGUCAUAAGAAGAGAGGGACACAGAGGGAAGAUGGCCACAUGAAGAUGGAGGCAGAGAUUGCAGUUAUGCUGCUGCAAACUAAGGAAUGGCUCUGGCCCUCCAAGGAUUGCUGAUAACCACCAGAAACUAGAAGAGACAAGGAAGGAUUCUUCCCUAGAGCCUUCAGAGGGAGCAUGGCCCUACUGACACCUGGAUUUCAAACUUGUAGCUUCCUAAACUGCAAGAGAAUAAAUUUCUGUUGUUUUAAGCCA
RNAcentral lists this long non-coding RNA (3250 nucleotides) under Homo sapiens (human). Its description in RNAcentral is "PCBP1 antisense RNA 1, transcript variant 81 (PCBP1-AS1)". Lineage: Eukaryota; Metazoa; Chordata; Mammalia; Primates; Hominidae. The record is from RNAcentral.